UAGAGUUUGAUCCUGGCUCAGAUCUUUCGCUGGCGGCAGGCCUAACACAUGCAAGUCGAACGGUAGCACAGAGGAGCUUGCUCCUUGGGUGACGAGUGGCGGACGGGUGAGUAAUGUCUGGGAAACUGCCCGAUGGAGGGGGAUAACUAAUGAUAAAUCGGUUACUAAUACCGCAUAACGUCGCAAGACCAAAGAGGGGGACCUUCGGGCCUCUUGCCAUCGGAUGUGCCCAGAUGGGAUUAGCUAGUAGGUGGGGUAACGGCUCACCUAGGCGACGAUCCCUAGCUGGUCUGAGAGGAUGACCAGCCACACUGGAACUGAGACACGGUCCAGACUCCUACGGGAGGCAGCAGUGGGGAAUAUUGCACAAUGGGCGCAAGCCUGAUGCAGCCAUGCCGCGUGUAUGAAGAAGGCCUUCGGGUUGUAAAGUACUUUCAGCGAGGAGGAAGGUGUUGUGGUUAAUAACCACAGCAAUUGACGUUACUCGCAGAAGAAGCACCGGCUAACUCCGUGCCAGCAGCCGCGGUAAUACGGAGGGUGCAAGCGUUAAUCGGAAUUACUGGGCGUAAAGCGCACGCAGGCGGUCUGUCAAGUCGGAUGUGAAAUCCCCGGGCUCAACCUGGGAACUGCAUCCGAAACUGGCAGGCUAGAGUCUUGUAGAGGGGGGUAGAAUUCCAGGUGUAGCGGUGAAAUGCGUAGAGAUCUGGAGGAAUACCGGUGGCGAAGGCGGCCCCCUGGACAAAGACUGACGCUCAGGUGCGAAAGCGUGGGGAGCAAACAGGAAAAGAUCCCCUGGUAGUCCACGCCGUAAACGAUG
This 817-nucleotide ribosomal RNA is filed under the name uncultured bacterium. Its description in RNAcentral is "bacterial SSU rRNA". It matches the Rfam family "Bacterial small subunit ribosomal RNA", at positions 1 to 811 of the family's 1533-position model. The record is from RNAcentral.